This is a long non-coding RNA of Mesocricetus auratus (golden hamster), 603 nucleotides long. RefSeq lists it as uncharacterized. Lineage: Eukaryota; Metazoa; Chordata; Mammalia; Rodentia; Cricetidae. The record is from RefSeq and is a predicted model, not a curated record. The transcript is spliced from 3 exons.
AGAAGCCACUGCACCACUCUAAACUCAAACGGCUGUACCGCCAGGCUGUCAGGACCCUUGUGGCCAUGGUCCCCGAAGGCUCUGUCUGCGGGGCCCUAAUUUCAACGCCCUUCUCUGCUGUUAAUCCAGUAAAUCUCCAAAGUUAGGAAACCUGUGCUUGAGCAGCCGCCAAGGACCUUACAAACUUUCUCUGGUUGUCCCGGGAAAGUUUCAUCCCGAAAGACGUUGAAUUGCCUCUCGGGUUGUCUUCUGCUGGCUUCUCAAAACUACAGAGAUUCUGCGGAGGAGUGGCUCUUUGGCACAGAGGAUGCAAACCCAAGUAAGACUCUCCAACAAAUGUUUCUGCCACACUCAAGAUAAAUAUCCACUUAUGCCAGCAUGGCUUCUCUGAUGGGGAGAAUGUCUACAAUUUAUCACACAGGUCAAGUAUCCAAGAAUGGACUGGAGUCUACAUUCAAAUUUGUAAAUGAAAACAAUAUCAAAACUCAAUGCUAGCAAAUGAAAAUUCUCACCAAAUUCAGCACAGUGAUAAAUGGAAUGGAGCACAACUCAGAGGAAACACAUCAAAAGGAUCUCAAAGGCACACUAAUGAGACAAUACAUG